RNAcentral lists this ribosomal RNA (253 nucleotides) under uncultured bacterium. Its description in RNAcentral is "partial 16S ribosomal RNA". It matches the Rfam family "Bacterial small subunit ribosomal RNA", at positions 524 to 776 of the family's 1533-position model. The record is from RNAcentral.
GACGAAGGACCCAAGCGUUAUCCGGAUUUAUUGGGUUUAAAGGGUGCGUAGGCGGGUUGUUAAGUCAGUGGUGAAAGCCUAGAGCUUAACUCUAGAAUUGCCAUUGAUACUGACGAUCUUGAGGAUAGUUGAGGUGGGCGGAAUGUAUCAUGUAGCGGUGAAAUGCUUAGAGAUGAUACAGAACACCGAUUGCGAAGGCAGCUCACUAAGCUAUUUCUGACGCUGAGGCACGAAAGCGUGGGGAUCAAACAGG